UUUUUUUUUUUUUUAGGGCUGCUUCCCACAGCAUAUGAAGGUUCCCAGGCUAGGGGUCAAAUUGGAGCUACAGCUGCCGGUCUCCGCCACAGCCACAGCAAUGCGGGAUCCAAGCUGCAACUGUGACCUACACCACAGCUCACAGCAAUGCCAGAUCCUUAAUCCACUGAGCGAGGCCAGGGAUCGAACCUGCAACCUUAUGGUUCCUAGUCAGAUUCAUUUCCGCUGUGCCACGAUGGAAACUCCUCCCUUUUUAGGAUGUUUCAGAAUUUCCCCAAAUUUCUACAAAGUGUAUCUGUAACUUGAAUAAUCAGAAAAAAAAUUUUUUUCGGAACAAAUAACCAUCGAAAAUAGAUAGUAAACCUUUCUUGCUCUGAACCCAAAGGACUCAGCUAUUAUGCUAUUAGCAUCUUUUUCCUCCCACACAAGGUUCACUCUAUGUAAAGGUAAAAAAAAAAAAAAUCACCAUAAGACAUACCAAAGGUGACCAUAUAGAUGGAAACUGGAGCACUUCUGAACUUUCGUGGUAAAAAACGUAGUGGUUAAAGACAGUCGCCUUAGACCUGGAAGCACAGGUUUCUUUCCAGACACGGCCUUGGCUGUUUGUCCUUCUGUGAUUUUCCAGGGCUGGUGCAAUGGAGAUCAAGGCCACAUCAGCCUGGACAGCAGAGCUUUGGCUACAGGCAGUGCUGACAGCUGCCUGCAUCGUGACUUUUGUGGAAACCAGGAAAUUACAAGACACCCUUGAGUGAAGCCCGCUGUGGGAGUGACGGUGUGUCUCUCCAGGUCUAGAAGGAGAAUGAGGGCAUUUGUGUUCCUGUCCAGACAGAAGGAGCUGUGGACUUGGAUGAGUCCACAGUUUGCAAGGGCGCCAAUGAUGCUCAUUUCCCCAAGUCGGGUCUGUGAUUCUCAAACUUUAGUUGAGUGUACCAGCCAUCUCUCAGGGCUUGUUGAAAUGUGCACUGGGAGGUUCCUGUUGUGGCGCAGUGGAAACGAAACUGGCUAGUAUCCAUGAGGAUGCGGGUUUGAUCCCUGGCCUUGCUCAGUAGGUUAAGGAUCCAGCGUUGCCAUGAGCUGUGGUGUAGGUCAAAGAUGUGGCUCGGAUCUGUCUGGCAUUGCUGUGGCUGUGGUGUAGGCCAGUGGCUACCACUCCAAUUCGAUCCCUAGCCUGGGAACUCCCAUAUGCUGCAGUUGCGGCCCUAAAAAGCUUAAAAAAAAAAAAAAGUGCAUUGCCAGCUCUGUGCCAGGAAGUGCUGGCUCAGGGGUUCAGGGUUGGGCCUUUGAAUCUCAAUAUUACUGUGAGCCUCCCAGAUGAUGCUUUGGGAAUUUCUCUGUUUCAUUCUUGCAACAUAAGGUAUGCUUCUAGAAUCAGAUUCAGAUCCCUCACACAUCGCUGUAGGCUUGGUGUGAAAUAAGCAUGGCACUAGUUAAUUUCCCAUGUUUGCUUCUGUAAGAUCCUCCUAAAGCUUCGGGGGUCAGCCUUCCCACCUCCACUUUACCCAUGGGAAAACUGGAGCUCAGAGUGUUGGAGUGAUUUAUCAGCAGUCACACAGCCAUAAGCGGUAGAGUUAAGAGUUAGAGCCAAGAAAGGGGGAUUGGACAACCCAGAGGCUCUCAUGUCCCCCCUCCCCUGGCCCCCACGGGGAGAAUAUCUCUAAGAUCCCCUAAUUUGUGAGUCUAACGAGCCAAGGUAUUGAUAACUGGGUCACCUUUCUUUACCAUCCUUCCAGCAUCCUGGCCACAGUCCCACAGAGGUAGCCCUCCCCCCCUUUCAUUUUUUUUGCUUUUUAGGGCCGCAUCCGUGGCAUAUGGAGGUUCCCAGGGUGUAGCCCUAAAAAGUAAAAACAAAGAACAAAAAAAUAAAUAAAAGAGGAGAUUAGGACACAAGCGCAAUUAGAGGGAAGACCACUUGAGUGCACAGGGAGAAGGCCGCCGUCUACAUGCCAAGGAGCAAUGCCUCCGAGGAAACCAACCCUGCUGACACCUUGAUCUGACUUCUGCCUCCAGAACUGUGUGAAAAUAAGUUUCUGUGUUUAACCCACUCAGCUUGUAAUACUUUGUUUCGAUGCCCCAAGAGACUAAUACGGAUGACCUGGUUGUACAAGUUCCACCUGAUUCAAUGUAGGCAGCCCCAGGUGGGCACAGGCGAGCUCCCGAGGCCCACUGGCAACACUGCAUCGGGACAACCUGGAGGUCACAACAAAGAGCUUGCUUGCACUUCUGUCUUUAGCAAGUCUGGGAACACGUUGGGCUGCACAGGGACAGAUUUUAUCAGUGUCCCUAUGGCUUGUAGGAGGGGCAUGCAGAAAGGUGAGGGGGCCGUCAUCUUACUCCUGUGGCUUAAAACACCUCAUCUUCUUACUGUCUACACACCCAACAAAACACCAUUUCGUGAGCCCACUCCAGGCAAUUGUUGAGGAUUCUGGCUGCGUGGGAAAGAAUGUCAGGAUUGAUCAGCCAUAUCUGCUCUGGGCAAGUGGGGGAGGCAUGACAGAUACGUCCAGUCGAUUUGCGGUCUUCUAGAACACAGGGAGCUCCACCUGCACCAAGGAGAAGACAGUGUCUCCAGAGAGAGCAGGAUGUGACAGAGAUGGCCAUACACUUCCAGCACAUCUGGCUAUCAAUGCCACUGUUGCAUGACAAAUAGAUGUCAUCACACCUGCCACCUCUGGUCAACUUGUCACGGCCACCUGAGCAUAGAAAUCCAUGUCCCUAUUCAUACCUAUGGAAAGAACAUCAUAUUGCAAUCCCCAACCUCAGCCACAAGCCUAGAUUGCAGGAGUGGUGGCAGGAUCGCCUGCUUCUCUGACCCAGCUCAAUCUGUCGGGGAAACUCAAGUUCCUUUCUGUCUCGCCACCCCAAGGACAAGGAUGAAAUGCCAUUCUGGAGUCUGUGGGUUUCUAUGGGCCAAGGCACUAGGCCUCAGACCUUUCAGAGGAAGGGUCGGAACACCCCAGGGCCUGACCUCCCCACCUGGGGUAUGCCAACCACGUAGGGUACAAGAGUGUAGCCCGGGGUAGAAGGGCAA
RNAcentral lists this long non-coding RNA (3028 nucleotides) under Sus scrofa (pig). RNAcentral's name for it is "lncRNA (ENSSSCG00050066481.1)". The record is from RNAcentral. Lineage: Eukaryota; Metazoa; Chordata; Mammalia; Artiodactyla; Suidae.